This 244-nucleotide long non-coding RNA is filed under the name Nicotiana benthamiana. RNAcentral's name for it is "long non-coding RNA (NBEN_LNC007773)". Lineage: Eukaryota; Viridiplantae; Streptophyta; Magnoliopsida; Solanales; Solanaceae. The record is from RNAcentral.
CUCUCUCUGUAAAAGCUUCGUCGCCGCCGCCUCUGGUUGCUUCGAUUUACCGGUAAGUUUUCCGAUCUCAGCAAUAACAUACCGGAGAAGACCGUAAAUUUACACUGUAGUCGUCAAUUUCUCGGGUUUCUGUUUUUUCGCCGUCUCGAUCUGUCAUUUCUAGAGAUUUUUUUUUAAGGAAAUUAGGAAAAAAGGAAAAUAUUUCAAUUUGAUUUUUAGAUAUUUGAUUAGUUUUUACCAGAUC